This 254-nucleotide ribosomal RNA is filed under the name uncultured bacterium. RNAcentral describes it as "partial 16S ribosomal RNA". It matches the Rfam family "Bacterial small subunit ribosomal RNA", at positions 524 to 776 of the family's 1533-position model. The record is from RNAcentral.
UACAGAGGUGGCAAGCGUUGUUCGGAAUUACUGGGCGUAAAGGGCUCGUAGGCGGCCAACUAAGUCAGACGUGAAAUCCCUCGGCUUAACCGGGGAACUGCGUCUGAUACUGGAUGGCUGGAGUUUGGGAGAGGGAUGCGGAAUUCCAGGUGUAGCGGUGAAAUGCGUAGAUAUCCGGAGGAACACCGGUGGCGAAGGCGGCUUCCUGGACCGAUUACUGACGCUGAGGCGCGAAAGCUAGGGGAGCAAACGGG